Molecule: ribosomal RNA, 497 nt
Filed under: uncultured bacterium
Lineage: Bacteria
Description: partial 16S ribosomal RNA
Rfam family: Bacterial small subunit ribosomal RNA
Source: RNAcentral
GACGAACGCUGGCGGCGUGCCUAAUACAUGCAAGUAGAACGCUGAAGCGAGGAGCUUGCUCUUCUUGGAUGAGUUGCGAACGGGUGAGUAACGCGUAGGUAACCUGCCUUGUAGCGGGGGAUAACUAUUGGAAACGAUAGCUAAUACGGCAUAACAAUGGAUGACACAUGUCAUUUAUUUGAAAGGGGCAAUUGCUCCACUACAAGAUGGACCUGCGUUGUAUUAGCUAGUAGGUGAGGUAAUGGCUCACCUAGGCGACGAUACAUAGCCGACCUGAGAGGGUGAUCGGCCACACUGGGACUGAGACACGGCCCAGACUCCUACGGGAGGCAGCAGGAGGGAAUCUUCGGCAAUGGGGGCAACCCUGACCGAGCAACGCCGCGUGAGUGAAGAAGGGUUUCGGAUCGUAAAGCUCUGUUGUAAGUCAAGAACGGGUGUGAGAGUGGAAAGUUCACACUGUGACGGUAGCUUACCAGAAAGGGACGGCUAACUACGUG